Molecule: ribosomal RNA, 468 nt
Filed under: uncultured bacterium
Lineage: Bacteria
Description: partial 16S ribosomal RNA
Rfam family: Bacterial small subunit ribosomal RNA
Source: RNAcentral
GACGAACGCUGGCGGCGUGCCUAACACAUGCAAGUCGAACGGAAAGGCCCUGCUUUUGCGGGGUGCCCGAGUGGCGAACGGGUGAGUAACACGGGAGUAUCCUGCCCUUGACUUUGGGAUAACUUCAGGAAACUGGGGCUAAUACCGGAUAGGAGCUCCUGCAGCAUGGUGGGGGUUGGAAAGCUCCGGCGGUUGGGGAUGGACUCGCGGCUUAUCAGCUUGUUGGUGGGGUAGUGGCUUACAAAGGCUUCGACGGAUAGUCGGCCUGAGAGGGUGAACGGGCACAUUAGGACUGAGGUACGGAGCAGUCUGCUACGGGAGGCAGCAGGGGGGAGUCUUACACAGUGAGGGGGAGCGUGAGACGGAAGCGCCGCGUGCGUGAUGACGGCCUACGGGUUGUGAACCGCUUUCGCCUGUGACGAAGCGUGAGUGACGGUAAUGGGUAAAGAAGCACCGGCUAACUACGUG